UCAUGGAAGCUCGAAUGGAGACUUCUUAUUGUAGAAGUCCCGCUGCUGGAGAAGCUCGAUCAUUGAGGAAGUCCGAAAGAAGUUCGGAGUAGAGAUCCUGCUGGUGGAGCCUGUUCGUUGUAGAAGUUCGUCUGUGAUCCAUCCACUAUAGAAGUUCGGAUGGAGUCUGGCUCUUGUAGGUGCUCGGAUGAAGUCCACCUGCAAUAGAAGUUCGGAGUAGAGGUUCGGUUGGUGGAGCCCGUCCGUUGUAGGAAUUCGUCUAGAAUCCAUCCAUUGUAGAAGUUUGGCUGGGAUCCGACUCUCGUAGGAGCUCGGAUGAAAUCCAAAAGGUGGUCGACC
RNAcentral lists this long non-coding RNA (339 nucleotides) under Elaeis guineensis (African oil palm). RNAcentral's name for it is "long non-coding RNA (EGUI_LNC080593)". The record is from RNAcentral. Lineage: Eukaryota; Viridiplantae; Streptophyta; Magnoliopsida; Arecales; Arecaceae.